AUUCUGUGAUGUGGGCAGUCUAGGAUGUACUCCUAUAGACAUUCCCAUGCUUCGAGAAUGGUCCCAUCUGACUUCUGCUGAAAGCUCGAAAUUCUGGUCCUCAGGGC
RNAcentral lists this small nucleolar RNA (107 nucleotides) under Sorghum bicolor (sorghum). RNAcentral's name for it is "Plant small nucleolar RNA R71". It matches the Rfam family "Plant small nucleolar RNA R71". From Rfam's summary of the family: R71 is a member of the C/D box family of snoRNAs containing the C (UGAUGA) and D (CUGA) box motifs. The record is from Rfam by way of RNAcentral. Lineage: Eukaryota; Viridiplantae; Streptophyta; Magnoliopsida; Poales; Poaceae.